RNAcentral lists this ribosomal RNA (478 nucleotides) under uncultured bacterium. RNAcentral describes it as "partial 16S ribosomal RNA". It matches the Rfam family "Bacterial small subunit ribosomal RNA", at positions 28 to 523 of the family's 1533-position model. The record is from RNAcentral.
GACGAACGCUGGCGGCGUGCUUAACACAUGCAAGUCGAGCGACGAAGUUCCUUCGGGAAUGGAUUAGCGGCGGACGGGUGAGUAACACGUGGGUAACCUGCCUCAUAGAGGGGAAUAGCCUUCCGAAAGGAAGAUUAAUACCGCAUAAGAUUGUAGUACCGCAUGGUAUAGCAAUUAAAGGAGCAAUCCGCUAUGAGAUGGACCCGCGUCGCAUUAGCUAGUUGGUGAGGUAACGGCUCACCAAGGCGACGAUGCGUAGCCGACCUGAGAGGGUGAUCGGCCACAUUGGGACUGCGACACGGCCCAGACUCCUACGGGAGGCAGCAGUGGGGAAUAUUGCACAAUGGGGGAAACCCUGAUGCAGCAACGCCGCGUGAGUGAUGACGGUCUUCGGAUUGUAAAACUCUGUCUUCAGGGACGAUAAUGACGGUACCUGAGGAGGAAGCCACGGCUAACUACGUGCCAGCCGCCGCAGUAA